RNAcentral lists this ribosomal RNA (433 nucleotides) under uncultured bacterium. RNAcentral's name for it is "partial 16S ribosomal RNA". It matches the Rfam family "Bacterial small subunit ribosomal RNA", at positions 29 to 507 of the family's 1533-position model. The record is from RNAcentral.
AACGAACGCUGGCGGCAUGCCUAACACAUGCAAGUCGAACGAGACCUUCGGGUCUAGUGGCGAACGGGUGCGUAACGCGUGGGAACCUGCCCUUAGGUUCGGAAUAACUCCCCGAAAGGGGGGCUAAUACCGGAUAAUGUCUUCGGACCAAAGAUUUAUCGCCUUUGGAUGGGCCCGCGUUUGAUUAGCUAGUUGGUAGGGUAAAAGCCUACCAAGGCGACGAUCCAUAGCUGGUCUGAGAGGAUGAUCAGCCACACUGGGACUGAGACACGGCCCAGACUCCUACGGGAGGCAGCAGUGGGGAAUAUUGGACAAUGGGCGAAAGCCUAAUACAGCAAUGCCGCGUGAGUGAUGAAGGCCUUAGGGUUGUAAAGCUCUUUUAACCGGGAUGAUAAUGACAGUACCGGGAGAAUAAGCACCGGCUAACUCCGUG